RNAcentral lists this ribosomal RNA (510 nucleotides) under uncultured bacterium. RNAcentral describes it as "partial 16S ribosomal RNA". It matches the Rfam family "Bacterial small subunit ribosomal RNA", at positions 28 to 507 of the family's 1533-position model. The record is from RNAcentral.
GACGAACGCUGGCGGCGUGCUUAACACAUGCAAGUCGAACGAAGAGCGACGGAAGCUUGCUUCUAUCAAUCUUAGUGGCGAACGGGUGAGUAACGCGUAAUCAACCUGCCCUUCAGAGGGGGACAACAGUUGGAAACGACUGCUAAUACCGCAUACGAUCUAACCUCGGCAUCGAGGAUAGAUGAAAGGUGGCCUCUACAUGUAAGCUAUCACUGAAGGAGGGGAUUGCGUCUGCUUAGCUAGUUGGAGGGGUAAGGGCCCACCAAGGCGAUGAUCAGUAGCCGGUCUGAGAGGAUGAACGGCCACAUCGGGACUGAGACACGGCCCAGACUCCUACGGGAGGCAGCAGUGGGGAAUCUUCCGCAAUGGACGAAAGUCUGACGGAGCAACGCCGCGUGAGUGAUGACGGCCUUCGGGUUGUAAAGCUCUGUUAAUCGGGACGAAAGGCCUUCUUGCGAAUAGUGAGAAGGAUUGACGGUACCGGAAUAGAAAGCCACGGCUAACUACGUG